Non-coding RNA from Pelobates cultripes (western spadefoot toad), 499 nucleotides. The record is from the annotation of a GenBank genome assembly. Lineage: Eukaryota; Metazoa; Chordata; Amphibia; Anura; Pelobatidae.
CCAACUGGUCACUUCGUUCAUAAGUGAAGUACUGAGGAAAUGUUGGUUUUAUUUCUUCUACUUUCCAUUUUUGUUUAUCAUUGAUGCUUUGAAAAUUGUUUAAGCAAUAUUGGAAAUGAUUAUAGCCAUCACUUGUGAUAUUCAUAUCUCUUAAUGUAAAGUUGAACCUAUAAAGAAAAGCAAAAUAUUUCUAUUUUAAAUUGUCUCCAAUUAUAAUAGAUCACAUGUAUGAUGUCUAUUAAAUUAUAUAACAAGGAACACGGGGAUAGAGUAGGGCACACUGAUAAGAGGACAGACACAGACUGUCACAGCGUAAUACCCCGACACGCAGGAUUCAGGACAGCAAGGGACAAGACCGGAAAAACGGGCCUUAGAAUGGCCGAACCCUACAUUGGACAAGAAAAAGCGUACUCCGUAAUGAGCCAAGGUCAGGGUAACACAGAGACAGGGAAAAUGAAAACUAGCCGCGGUGAGGUACAUGGUAAUAAGUCAGAUAAAC